RNAcentral lists this long non-coding RNA (706 nucleotides) under Mytilus galloprovincialis (Mediterranean mussel). Lineage: Eukaryota; Metazoa; Mollusca; Bivalvia; Mytilida; Mytilidae. The record is from RNAcentral.
UUUUUGACUCUUCACAUUUUACAUAAUCCGCUUCGCGGAUUAUUUAAUAUGAAGAGUCAAAAAUUAGUUUUAUGGUUCAAUAAAUUCAAAAUAGAUAAUAGCCAUUCAUUAAAUUGAGAGGGGGUCCAAUCCAGGAGAAAAGGGGAUUUCAAAUAUAAUUUAUUUAUGUUCCCAUACAAAUGCAUUGAUAGUUAAAAAAGGGUUUCAAACUGCCGGAUCCCCUUUUUUUUUAAUCCGUCACUGAUAUAACUAUUAAUUAAUCUUAUUCGGAUUCCUUAUCAUAAAUGAUAAUGACUGUAUUGUGCACCGUCUAUUUCGAAUUUUAGUAAAAAUCUUUUAUGGGGUUACUUUAUAUAAGAUACGGACUUGAACAUUGCAUUAUAUGGGGGCACCCAUCAGGUAUUUCCAACACCUCCUAAACCAAUCAUUAAAGUUUUCUGAAAUUGCUCCAUUUGUACUCGAUUAAUGCAUUAUGGACCUUCUAUUUCUGUAAACUUACCAAAAUUAUAUCACAUGAAUUAACCCCCUACGCAAAGCUGUCUUUAUCCAUUUUUUGUUAUUUUAAAAGCGACAAGCUUGAUUUAUGUUAUCAUCAAUUGGUCAACGGAGGACGGUGUAAAUAAUCUUUAAAAAUGUAAUAGCUAUAAACAGAUAACUGUAACGAUACACUAUUACAAAGUCCACAAGCGAAUCAUGUAUUACAUUU